RNAcentral lists this ribosomal RNA (254 nucleotides) under uncultured bacterium. Its description in RNAcentral is "partial 16S ribosomal RNA". It matches the Rfam family "Bacterial small subunit ribosomal RNA", at positions 524 to 776 of the family's 1533-position model. The record is from RNAcentral.
UACGUAGGGGGCGAGCGUUUUCCGGAUUUAUUGGGCGUAAAGAGCUCGUAGGCGGUUUGGUAAGUCGGAUGUGAAAUCUCCAGGCUCAACCUGGAGGGGUCAUUCGAGACUGCCAUGACUAGAGUUCGGUAGAGGAGUGUGGAAUUCCUGGUGGAGCGGUGAAAUGCGCAGAUAUCAGGAGGAACACCCGUAGCGAAGGCGGCACUCUGGGCCGAUACUGACGCUGAGGAGCGAAAGCGUGGGGAGCGAACAGG